GUGAGGUUGAAGCUUUAGAAGCCUUGUUAUGACCCCACAGACCAUGCCAGGUGAGGUUGAAGCUUUAGAAGCCUUGUUAUGACCCCACAGACCAUGCCAGGUGAGGUUGAAGCUUUAGAAGCCUUGUUAUGACCCUACAGACCAUGCCAGGUGAGGUUGAAGCUUUAGAAGCCUUGUUAUGAC
Molecule: long non-coding RNA, 183 nt
Organism: Dreissena polymorpha
Lineage: Eukaryota; Metazoa; Mollusca; Bivalvia; Myida; Dreissenidae
Exons: 3
Source: RefSeq, a predicted model, not a curated record